Molecule: long non-coding RNA, 2313 nt
Filed under: Sus scrofa (pig)
Lineage: Eukaryota; Metazoa; Chordata; Mammalia; Artiodactyla; Suidae
Description: lncRNA (ENSSSCG00060061508.1)
Source: RNAcentral
GUUUGUCUCCAAGCCUCUGAGCCUCGGUGGGGCGGAAGACAGCUCCAGCGUUCAGGGUUCCAAAGGCACUCGCCCUUUGACCCUGCCAUCCCACUCCUAGGGAUUUCGUGCAAGCACGUCCACACCUACAGGGCAAGAUGACGGAGAAGACGUGGGUACGAGGUUAUCGCUGAUAAAUAAGCAGCGUCAGGUGUAACCGAGUUAUGAUGAGGUCAGACUGGAAGAGGUGGACCGUAAUCCAGUGACUGCUGUCCUCUUGGGGGUUUGGCUCAGACUCCCGGAAGGAGGAUGGUGAAGACGGAGGCAGAGAAGGCGGGAGGUCUCCAAGCUGAGGAUCGCCAAGGAUCCCUGGCCACUUCAGAAGCUGCGAAGCGUGUCCUCUCCCAGAACCUUUGGAGACAGCACAGCCAUGCCGACUCUCUGACUUUGGCUCAGUGAGCCCCUGCUGUUCUAAAACACCUGCUUUGUGGUACCGUGCUGGGCAGCCCCAGGUGACUAGUCCCCUGCCCUGUCCCCUCCACAGCAUCACCGCCCUCUGCCUCGUCUUCCCAGCACUACUCCAUCCUUCCAGGCUAGUCUCAAAAGCCUCCUCUUCCUCCAAGAAGCCCUCCCUGAGCAUCUGUCCUCACCCGGCUCCCUCCAAGGCUGCUUCCGCAGAUGUCCGCCUCAUGCCCAACCUCCCAUUGCACCAGGUACCCAAUGCCCCAGAGUGAAAUGUGCUGGGUGACCUCUCUGAAGGGUUUAGAAGAGGCUUCGUUCCCAGAAGCGAGCCUGAAUUGGGUUUUGAAGGAUGACUAAGAAUUUGCCAUUUGGAAAGGUGACAGCUUUGUGCCAGUCACUGAGUACACUUACCUAGUCAUGUGUUCUUUCAACGAGCACACCUAGAGAUUUUUGCACGAAACUGGCUUUUUUGUUGUUGUUUUGUUUUGUUUUUGUCUUUUUAGGGCCACAUCCAAGACAUACAGAGGUUCCCAGGCUAGGGGUCGAAUUGGAGCUAUAGCUGCUGGCCUACGCCAGAGCCACAGUAAUGUGGGAUCUGAGCCGAAUCUGCAAAGUGCACCACAGCUCAUGGCAACGCCAGAUCCUUAACCCACUGAACGAUGCCAGGGAUUGAACCUGCAUCCUUGUGGAUACUAGUCAGAUUCGUUUCCCCUGAGCCGUGAUGGGAACUCCAUGCACAAACUUGUUCACCAGAAUGUGGCCUCAGAGGCAGGAGAGCCCCUCUCUCACCUCCAGCCAAGCCCCCCACUCUUCAGGAGCCCCUAGCAGCCCUGGACUGGCCUUUGUUCAUGCCCAGCCGAAGGUUGUGACUCAAAGGUGUUUUCCAAGGGGGAGAAUUUUGCAGGAGGAAAGGGAGGACAGGGGGACUCAGAGUGAAGAGGGAACCGUGCAUAUGGGCAGGGGACAGUCCUUACCCCAAGUUCAGGUCUGCUACUUUCCAGCUGAGGGACCUGGAGGCUCUAAGCCCUGGUUCUUGCCUGUGGAAUGGGCGUGACAGUGCCGGGCCUGGUUCCUGGUGGGCACUUGCUGGCAUUGGUGAGGCCUCUAUUGUCCACAGUAACAGGCACUGGCCAGCAGGGGGCGGCAGCCCCUGCUGCAACCUGGAGAGUCUGGUGGCAGAUACCACCCUGGUUACCCUCUGGGGCCGGGAGGGGGCAGGUGGCUGAAGGGCAGCUUUGGAGCCAGGUGGUCCCUGAGCUGCCCUUUCUACCUUGCCGCUCUGCGAACAGGGCCCCCGGAAGUACCUCGGGGCCACAGGCCUCCAGGCCAGGCAUGGGCUCUGGGGGUAAUGGAUCUCCUGGUGUUUUGCUGAGCGGCCCACUCAUCCUCUCAGCAGUCAUCCUCCCACGUCACACGUGAAGAAGCCAAGACACAGAGAGGUUCAGGAGCUUGCCCGAGGUCACACAGCAAGUGGCGGAGCUGGGAUCAGAACCCAGGUGCUGUGGCAACACCCAGAGCCCACACUCUUAGCACCAAGCCUUAUGGCUGGUAGCCGCCCCAGCUUCUUGGUGAUGAUGGACAAGGAGAAAUUAUCCAGAUGAAAAGGAGAUGGGGGAGUCUCAUCAAAGGGAACAGCAUGAAGGUGGCCCAGAGGCAUGAGAGUUUGGGCAAAGAAGCAAGGCCUUCAGAGUUGCUGCCCCGGGGGAGGGGGAGGAAGGAGGAGCAGAGGCAGCAGGAGCCAGGUCCAGGGGAACAGCUGGAGGGCUGAAUACGAGGCGGGGGGUGGGGGGUAGAGGUCAGGUCUGUAUUUGGUUUUUGUCUGUUUGUUCGUUCGUUUAGGGCCGCACCUGCUGCAUAUGGAGGUUCCCAGGC